Ailuropoda melanoleuca (giant panda) is the source of this 3806-nucleotide long non-coding RNA. Lineage: Eukaryota; Metazoa; Chordata; Mammalia; Carnivora; Ursidae. The record is from Ensembl.
GUCCCAGUUGCCCCGAGUCUGCCCGAAUUCCAGCAUCCCAGCUUCCUCGCCCUCCUCGAAGCUGCGGCGGGGAAAAAGGACACGAAAAGCGAGGGGCACCAGCAGGCCUGCACCCCUGGGCCCGCCGAAGGGCUCCCUAGAGCCAGAAAAGGAACAAUAGCAGACCCUCGGUCGCCGGAGCCAUCCGGAGUCUCCCGCUUGCGCCUCCCUCCCCAGCUCCUCCAAGUUCUGCGCGGAGGCGGCUCGAGCCCAGAAGUCAGGAGACGGGGGGCAACGCGGGCCUGCGAGUGGCGGGGGGGGGGGGNGGGCGCGGGCAGGAGAAAAGCCCGCUCCCAACUUGGCCCGGUUUUCCCUCUUCCUCGUCUCCCCACAUCCUCCUCUCCCUCCGCAGACAGUUGGCGGCCGGCGGCAGACAAGGGAGUGGUAGCGGGACCCUCGCUGCCACCCCAAGCCGCUCCGCCCGGCGCGCCUUCCCUCGCCCGAGCCCCAGACACAAAGGCCGGGCGGCGAGCCGGGACCCCGCUCCGCGGAGCCUCCCGACUCUCGGCGCCGCGCACUUACCCCAUCGAGGCGAAGGCUCCCGGGCCCCGCCGGCUGCGCCACUCCGCCCGCCGCUUCCCCAGGAAAACGCGGCCGCCGGGCUCGCUUCCUGCUCCGCUUCCUGCGCCUCGGUCCCUCCUCCUCCCCCCGCUGCGGGGGUCAGUGGGCGCCGCGGCUCCCGGGCUGGGCGGGAGGGGCGGGGGCAGCGGCAGCACCACCACGUGGCCUCCCGACGCCGGCCCCCGCCGACCUGGAUCCCGCGGGAGCGAGAAGGGAGGUGCUCGCNGGAUCCCGCGGGAGCGAGAAGGGAGGUGCUCGCCUCUCCCCUCCCCUUCCACCCCGCGCGGCCCCAAAUUCCGCGAGUCAGGUGACCCGGCCCCGCGCCCGGGCCGAGACUUGCGGGAGGUGCUCGCAACCGCACCGGCGCGGCCGCCACCCCUGAGCCCGCAAGCCUCGGGCGUUCGUGGUUGGCUUUUAGUGCCCAGCGAUCGUGGACCUUUCCCCGCGGAUGGGUUUCAUCAUCAUCACCUGAAGUUAGUGGGCAACACCGUCGCUCUAACCCCAGCAUUUAGGACCGAAUUAUUGAACAGAAAGUAAACCGGAAUCCGCUUGUUCUCUGGACGGACUGAACCAAGUGGUUGGAGUGACUGCUAACACUCAUCAGGUGGCAACAGAAGCUACUGGCGUGAAGCGUGGUUCGGUUCAGGAGUUGGGAGAAAUCUACCGCCUGAACUGAGAGGCACGGAUGGGGGACGCCCCCCAGAGUCGCGUCCGGGAUGCAAGGAGGGAAGGCCAUACUCCCCCACCCCCCACCCCAGGACCCCGCGGCGUGUCACUCUUCCCCAGCCCGCUAAAACCGGCCUUUGAAUCUUAAUGGACUCCUCCUGUAAUUCCAAGGAUUUCAAGCUCUCCACCUCCUCGUUUCAUUUGGGACUGCUUUUCUAUUCAUUCGAGACAGGCUAACCAGCUAUGGCUUAGAAAGUUAUUCACCCAAGUCCCUCCCGUCUCCGGGUCAGCUCUGCAUCCUUAGGCAGGGCAGGAAGCUUUCUAGAGUAAAUGACAUUAAGUCCGUUUUGAUGGGAUCAACUCUAAGUCAUUUGAACUUAAAAAAAAAAAAAAAUCCAUUCCAACGGAAGUGAAAUUCACCCUAACAGUUGAGUGUGUAAGGUCUUAGCUGCAUCUUGACGGUCUACACGUUAGAAUUUAUCUGUCUCCCUCCUUCCCCAGGGGUACAGCCUGUCUGUUUUAACAGGUAACUUAUCAAACAGGGAGCAAAAGCUCUGUAACUAUGAACUAUGAAGUAACUGUGCAGCGUGGCCUUCCUAAAUCAUACAUCAGAGAUUCUUUUGAAAAGUGAUGAAUAGCCCGUUUAAAGCAAGCCAUACACUCCUCUUCCUGUCCCUUAUCCCUCUCAAAUGAAAUGACACUAAAAGAAAUGUGAGCUUGCAAACUUCUUGUUUGUUUAAUGCUGGCCAUGUCUACAACACAGUUUUUCAUCAUGGUUCAUAUUAAUGGUGUACCACUUGUGUGUUUUCUGUUCUAACAGCUCAGUCUGCAAGCAGGGGCAGCUGGAGAGGUGGGCUUGGGAGCGAGGUGCAGGGUACACCGUGCCAGCUUCGAAAGCGAACACGUGCGUGUUCUGCAGGAAUGGUUGACAAGUCGAAGGAGUUUAAUACCAAGCAGCUUUAAACAAUUUUUUUUUUCUUUUACACCCGGUGCCCUGUCCCAGCCACUUACCUCUGAGCCUACCUGACUGUGUCAGCUCGGUGGCUCUUGUUGGUGGCUUGUGUGCUUAUUCUCCCUGAUUUAUAAUUCCACCCUCAGACAUGAGCAAGUCCAACUCUGGGUGGGGGUUGCUGUGGAGGGAAGGACUCUUAGAGUUAGGCUGAUGUGCCAAGAUUCUUUUCCAGAUCCCUCCUCCUCUGAAACUCAAACAUCUCCUUCAGACCACAGCUGAAGUCAUGCUACCUGCAGAGGAAUUGAUGGUCAAGUACAGGAUUGAACAGUCUUCUUGUUGGUUUGGUUUGGCUUGUUUUUUCCCCAGGCCUUUUAGAAAUGCUAACUCAUUCAGGAUACAUUGAGCACACCCUUUAAUGGAGACCAGGCCCGUGUAAAAAGGUUUGAGAGAAGGCAACAAGAAUAAAAUGAUCAUCUAAACUUCAUAGAAAGUUGUUAAAACUUUUUUUGGGAGGGACAGCAUGUUGUAUUUUAAUAGGUGAAUUAUGUCCAAUCAAGGUAACUGUAAUAAGAACAAAGCGACCAUGUUCCCACUACCUCUUUUACUAACUUGCCAUUUGAACUUCGCCAAGCCUUUGAACCUCUCCUGGUCCCCCUUUUCCUAAUCAGUAAAAAAAGAACAUUGAACUACAUGGCCUCUGAGAAUUCUUUCAGCUUUAGCAUCCUAAACCCAUUCUCUUAAUCUGAGGAGCCAUCACCAAGAGUAUUAUCUUUACAUUCUAUGGCAGAGCAUCAUUCUUUAAUUGUUCUAGCAGGUCCAUCUUCUCGACCUAUGAGACUGUAAAUUCCUGAGUGUUGCCAUCCAGGAUUUAGCAGGGUCCAUGAAAGGAAUUGAUUGGUAGAGCCAAAUUUUCAUUUUCGAAAUUAAAAAAUAUCGCGUCCCUUCUUUUUUGCUCCAUCUCUUAUCAAUUUUGUUUCUCCCCAUGUUAGGAACUUUUUAAGUCUGGGGAACCAAGGCUAAGACUAGUUUGAGUAACAAGAAACUGUCCCUAAUAGAGGAAAUAGAGGUAGGUGUCACAUCAGAGCCAAAAAGUAACCCUUUGCUUUAUUUGGCUUUUGGUCAGAAUCUGACUGCACUUCUGGGGCUCGUUAGAAGCAGCGUGAUUUACAGGAAUGUGACGAUAUUGGCCCCAGUCCAGAGAAUGGAAUUAAAACACAAUCAGAAGGUUGAAGGGAGAUGAUCUACAGAAAAAAACAAAAAACCCCAAAUAUUCAUAGAACAACCCCUAUUUGUGUUUUCUUUGGGAUGUUUCCAAAUAGGAAAUUGUGAAAUGGGAGAAGUUCAUAAAACAACCUUAGCAUAGCAUCCUAAUAAUUUAAUGAGACCAUGGUAAUAAAGUAGACUAGAAACACGGAGCGCUUGAGAUGUCAUUAGUCCAAACUGAGAUGUGCUGUACAUGCAAAAUAUAUACCAGAUUUCAAAGACGUAGGAUGGGGAGAAAAAAAGGUACCUCACUAAUAAUUUUUAUAUUAAUCACAUAUUGAAAUGCUAGUAGUUUGGAUGUAUUAGAAUAAAUAUAUUAACACUA